This 512-nucleotide ribosomal RNA is filed under the name uncultured bacterium. RNAcentral's name for it is "partial 16S ribosomal RNA". It matches the Rfam family "Bacterial small subunit ribosomal RNA", at positions 28 to 507 of the family's 1533-position model. The record is from RNAcentral.
GAUGAACGCUGGCGGCGUGCCUAAUACAUGCAAGUCGAACGAAACUUCUUUAUCACCGAGUGCUUGCACUCACCGAUAAAGAGUUGAGUGGCGAACGGGUGAGUAACACGUGGGCAACCUGCCCAAAAGAGGGGGAUAACACUUGGAAACAGGUGCUAAUACCGCAUAACCAUAGUUACCGCAUGGUAACUAUGUAAAAGGUGGCUAUACUACCGCUUUUGGAUGGGCCCGCGGCGCAUUAGCUAGUUGGUAGGGUAAAGGCUUACCAAGGCAAUGAUGCGUAGCCGAAUUGAGAGGUUGAUCGGCCACAUUGGGACUGAGACACGGCCCAAACUCCUACGGGAGGCAGCAGUAGGGAAUCUUCCACAAUGGGCGAAAGCCUGAUGGAGCAACGCCGCGUGGGUGAAGAGGGUCUUCGGAUCGUAAAACCCUGUUGUUAGAGAAGAAAGUGCGUGAGAGUAACUGUUCACGUUUCGACGGUAUCUAACCAGAAAGCCACGGCUAACUACGUG